RNAcentral lists this ribosomal RNA (378 nucleotides) under uncultured bacterium. Its description in RNAcentral is "bacterial SSU rRNA". It matches the Rfam family "Bacterial small subunit ribosomal RNA", at positions 523 to 898 of the family's 1533-position model. The record is from RNAcentral.
AUACGUAUGGGGCGAGCGUUAUCCGGAUUCAUUGGGCGUAAAGCGCGCGUAGGCGGCCUGCUAUGUCAGGUGUGAAAGCCGGGGGCUUAACCCGCGGAUUGCAUUUGAAACUGGCAGGCUUGAGUCUGGUAGAGGAAAGUGGAAUUCCUAGUGUAGCGGUGAAAUGCGCAGAUAUUAGGAGGAACACCAGUGGCGAAGGCGGCUUUCUGGGCCACGACUGACGCUAAGGCGCGAAAGCUAGGGGAGCAAACAGGAUUAGAUACCCUGGUAGUCCUAGCCGUAAACGAUGGGCACUAGGUGUGGGGGAUCAUUGACAUCUUCCGUGCCGGAGCUAACGCAUUAAGUGCCCCGCCUGGGGAGUACGGCCGCAAGGCUAAA